GCGUAAAGCGUACGUAGGCGGUGAGUUAAGUUAGAUGUGAAAGCCCCGGGCUUAACCUGGGAACUGCAUUUAAAACUGGCUGACUAGAGUUGAGUAGAGGGGAGUGGAAUUUCAGGUGUAGCGGUGAAAUGCGUAGAGAUCUGAAGGAACACCAGUGGCGAAGGCGACUCCCUGGACUCAAACUGACGCUGAGGUACGAAAGCGUGGGUAGCAAACAGGAUUAGAUACCCUGGUAGUCCACGCCGUAAACGAUGUCAACUAGCCGUUGGGUUUAUUGUAAACUUAGUGGUGGAGCUAACGCAUUAAGUUGACCGCCUGGGGAGUACGGCCGCAAGGUUAAAACUCAAAUGAAUUGACGGGGGCCCGCACAAGCGGUGGAGCAUGUGGUUUAAUUCGAUGCAACGCGAAGAACCUUACCUACCCUUGACAUCCUCAGAACUUGUUAGAGAUAACUUGGUGCCUUCGGGAACUGAGUGACAGGUGCUGCAUGGCUGUCGUCAGCUCGUGUCGUGAGAUGUUGGGUUAAGUCCCGUAACGAGCGCAACCCUUAUCCUUAGUUGCCAGCACAUAAUGGUGGGAACUCUAAGGAGACUGCCGGUGAUAAACCGGAGGAAGGUGGGGACGACGUCAAGUCAUCAUGGCCCUUAUGGGUAGGGCUACACACGUGCUACAAUGGCCGGUACAGAGGGCAGCGAACUCGCGAGAGCAAGC
This 711-nucleotide ribosomal RNA is filed under the name uncultured Campylobacterota bacterium. RNAcentral's name for it is "bacterial SSU rRNA". It matches the Rfam family "Bacterial small subunit ribosomal RNA", at positions 558 to 1268 of the family's 1533-position model. Lineage: Bacteria; Pseudomonadati; Campylobacterota. The record is from RNAcentral.